Molecule: long non-coding RNA, 564 nt
Filed under: Mustela putorius furo (domestic ferret)
Lineage: Eukaryota; Metazoa; Chordata; Mammalia; Carnivora; Mustelidae
Description: lncRNA (ENSMPUG00000024010.1)
Source: RNAcentral
CUUUCUUAAUCUGCAACCCUUCCCACAACAGCUGGUCUUCAAAUACAUCCCUUCAUCUAAGACAAAUUAACACAACAGCUUAACGUUUAUAAUUAUUUAUAAUGAUAAUGAUUAAGAAUCAUCUUACCAUUGCAUAAUGGUAAGGCAAACUAAGCAGACAGUCUUAGGAUUUUAAUUGGACAUUUAGGCUAGUUUUGCAUUCUGCUGGACCUCUCUCAAAGGGUAUUGUCCUUUGCUGGUUUUCUAUGUGUACUAUUUGGUCAGUUCUCAAAUGUUAUCUAGACUACAGUUUAUUAUAAGAUAGUACCUCUCUUGUACUACAGUCCAUCUUUUCACACCAAAAACCUUGUUGUUCAAGCCAGACAUCUUUUUUCUCUUAUUGUACCAUAGUAAUUGGGAAUUGGGAAUGUUUUCUUUCUUUUCUCUUUCUUUCUCUCUCUCUUUCUUUCUUUUUGUCUUUUUUAAGAGGUUUUGUACCAAUGAUUAUAAAAAUAAUAAGAGAAGGUAAAUGAAAAGAAAGAUCUGAACAAUAACUAAUUUCUCACUGCCAGUGUUUAACUUUGC